GGACUUAGUGAUCCGGUGGUUCCGCAUGGAAGGGCCAUCGCUCAACGGAUAAAAGCUACCCCGGGGAUAACAGGCUUAUCUCCCCCAAGAGUUCACAUCGACGGGGAGGUUUGGCACCUCGAUGUCGGCUCAUCGCAUCCUGGGGCUGUAGUCGGUCCCAAGGGUUGGGCUGUUCGCCCAUUAAAGCGGUACGCGAGCUGGGUUCAGAACGUCGUGAGACAGUUCGGUCCCUAUCCGUCGUGGGCGUAGGAAAUUUGAGAGGAGCUGUCCUUAGUACGAGAGGACCGGGAUGGACAUACCUCUGGUGUACCAGUUGUCGUGCCAACGGCAUAGCUGGGUAGCUAUGUGUGGACGGGAUAAGUGCUGAAAGCAUCUAAGCAUGAAGCCCCCCCUCAAGAUGAGAUUUCCCAACUUCGGUUAUAAGAUCCCUCAAAGAUGAUGAGGUUAAUAGGUUCGAGGUGGAAGCAUGGUGACAUGUGCAGCUGACGAAUACUAAUCGAUCGAAGACUUAAUCAA
Molecule: ribosomal RNA, 516 nt
Filed under: Staphylococcus aureus
Lineage: Bacteria; Bacillati; Bacillota; Bacilli; Caryophanales; Staphylococcaceae
Description: partial 23S ribosomal RNA
Rfam family: Bacterial large subunit ribosomal RNA
Source: RNAcentral